AGGUCAAGCGAGGGAAGGGCGCAGGGUGGAUGCCUCGGCACCGGAGCCGAAGAAGGGCGUGGCAAGCUGCGAAAAGCCACGGGGAGCCGCAAGCAGGCGAAGAUCCGUGGAUUCCCGAAUGGGGCAACCCGCCGGGUGGAAGACCUGGCAUCGCAUGCUGAAUUAAGUAGGCAUGCGAGGGGAGACCGGGGGAACUGAAACAUCUUAGUACCCCGAGGAAAAGAAAUCAAAAUGAGAUUCCCUGAGUAGCGGCGAGCGAAAGGGGAGGAGCCCAAACCAUCGUAAGCGAAAGCUUGCGGUGGGGUUGUAGGACAGAAGCGCGAAGCCACUUGAGGCGCUUAGCCGAAUGGUCUGGGAAGGCCAGCCGUAGAGGGUGACAGCCCCGUAGGCGAAAGGCGCGGGUAGAGUGGUGCUUCUGAUCCUGAGUAGCACCAGUGCCGUGGAAGCUGGUGUGAAGCAGGGGGGACCACCCUCCAAGGCUAAAUACUACCGGUGACCGAUAGUGCACAAGUACCGUGAGGGAAAGGUGAAAAGAACCCCGGGAGGGGAGUGAAAUAGAGCCUGAAACCCUGUGCCUACAAGCAGACGGAGGGGCUGAGAAGUCCUGACGUCGUACUUAUUGAAGAACGGUCCGGCGAGUUACUUACGCAUGCGAGGCUAAGGCGCGAGAGAGCGCUGGAGCCGCAGGGAAACCGAGUCUGAAGAGGGCGAUAGUAUGCGUAAGUAGACCCGAAACCGGGUGAUCUACCCUUGGCCAGGGUGAAGUGUGGGUGAGACCACAUGGAGGCCCGAACCGGUCGUCGUUGAAAAGGCGUCGGAUGAGCUGAGGGUAGUGGAGAAAUUCCAAUCGAACCCGGAGAUAGCUGGUUCUCCCCGAAAUAGCUUUAGGGCUAGCCUCAAGCUUGUAGCCGCUGGAGGUAGAGCACUGAUUGGGCUAGGGGCGCAAAAACGUUACCGAACCCUAUCAAACUCCGAAUGCUGGCGGUGUUAAGCUUGGGAGUCAGACCACGAGCGAUAAGGUCCGUGGUCGAGAGGGGAACAGCCCAGACCGACUGCUAAGGUCCCGAAGAUGUGGCUAAGUGUGCAAAGGAUGUUCAGCCGCGAAGACAACCAGGAGGUUGGCUUAGAAGCAGCCAUUCCUUUAAAGAGUGCGUAACAGCUCACUGGUCGAGCGGCUGGGCGCCGAAAAUACUCGGGGCUGAAGCCACACACCGAAGCAUCGGGUUAUAGCCACAAAAGGAAGUGGCUAUAGCGGUAGGGGAGCGUUCUGCGUUAGGGCGAAGCCCAAGGCGAAAGCCAGGGUGGACGAGGCAGAAGUGAGAAUGCCGGAAUAAGUAGCGCGAGGCAGGUGGGAAGCCUGCCCGUCGGAAGCCCAAGGGUUUCUGGGGAAGGCGAAUCCGCCCAGAGUUAGCCGGGGCCUAAGGCGAGGCCGAAAGGCGUAGCUGAUGGGUAUCAGGUUGAUAAUCCUGAGCCACCUGCCGGAGGUUAACCUACGAGGCGGGACGCAGGAGGAGCAGGCAACCGGGGAGUUGGUAGACCCCGGCCAAGCGGCGAGCGGGAGUGGGUAGGCAAAUCCGCUCACUCGGCAACCGUGAGCCGUGAUGGGGAGCCGAAGAAAAAGUAGGCGAAGUGCUGAGCUUCACACUGCCAAGAAAAGCGUCGCGUAGGCGAAGGCAGGUGCCCGUACUGGAAACCGACACAGGUGGGCGAGGAGAGAAUCCACAGACGGACGGGUGAAGCACCGCUAAGGAACUCGGCAAACUGACCCCGUAACUUCGGGAGAAGGGGUGCCCUGGGUGAAGAGCUCAGGGUCGCAGGGAAUAGGCCCAAGCGACUGUUUAUCAAAAACACAGGUCUCUGCCAAGCCGAAAGGCGAGGUAUAGGGGCUGACGCCUGCCCGGUGCUGGAAGGUUAAGGGGAGGGGUUAGCCUGAAGAGGGCGAAGCUCCGAACCGAAGCCCCAGUGAACGGCGGCCGUAACUAUAACGGUCCUAAGGUAGCGAAAUUCCUUGUCGGGUAAGUUCCGACCCGCACGAAUGGCGUAACGACUUGGGCGCUGUCUUGGCGGUGUGCCCGGCGAAAUUGUGGUACCAGUGAAGACGCUGGUUACCCGCGGUUGGACAGAAAGACCCCGUGGAGCUUUACUGCAGCCUGGCACUGUGUUCUGGUGUGUCCUGUACAGGAUAGGUGGGAGGCAGAGAAGUGGGGGCGCCAGCCUCCAUGGAGCCGGCGGUGGGAUACCACUCUGGGUGCACUGGGGCACUAACCAGACACUCUGAACCGAGUGAUGGGACACUGUCAGGUGGGCAGUUUGACUGGGGCGGUCGCCUCCUAAAAGGUAACGGAGGCGCCCAAAGGUCACCUCAGCACGGAUGGAAAUCGUGCGGUAGGAGUGCAAAGGCGGUAAGGUGGCUUGACUGUGAGAGAGACAUCUCGAGCAGGGACGAAAGUCGGGCUUAGUGAUCCGGCGGUUUUCGAGUGGGAGAGCCGUCGCUCAACGGAUAAAAGUUACCCCGGGGAUAACAGGCUGAUCUCCCCCGAGAGUCCACAUCGACGGGGAGGUUUGGCACCUCGAUGUCGGCUCAUCGCAUCCUGGGGCUGAAGUAGGUCCCAAGGGUUGGGCUGUUCGCCCAUUAAAGCGGUACGUGAGCUGGGUUCAGAACGUCGUGAGACAGUUCGGUCCUUAUCCGCCGCGGGCGCAGGGUAUUUGAGGGGAGCUGACCCUAGUACGAGAGGACCGGGUUGGACGGACCGCUGGUUUACCAGUUGUUCCGCCAGGGGCACGGCUGGGAAGCCAAGUCCGGAUGGGAUAAACGCUGAAAGCAUCUAAGCGUGAAGCCCACCCCAAGAUGAGAUACCCCACACCUCAAAGGUGGUAAGGGUCCUGGGAGACUACCAGGUAGAUAGGCCGCAUGUGUAAGCGCUGUGAGGCGUUGAGCAAGGCGGUACUAAUGGCCCGAGGAGCUUGACCGA
This 2972-nucleotide ribosomal RNA is filed under the name Caldicellulosiruptor bescii. RNAcentral describes it as "bacterial LSU rRNA". It matches the Rfam family "Bacterial large subunit ribosomal RNA". Lineage: Bacteria; Bacillati; Bacillota; Caldicellulosiruptorales; Caldicellulosiruptoraceae. The record is from RNAcentral.